GUGAAUCAUCAAAUUUUUGAACGCAAAUUGCACUCCCUGGUAUUCCGGGGAGUAUGCCUGUUUGAGGGUCGUUAGAAUAAGAAAUCGAGGCGUCGCUCUUUUUUUUAGGGGUGAUCGCGUCGGAAUUGAGCCGUCUUUCAAAUGUUAAUUCAUGUCAAAUUGGCUUAAAAUUCUUGCAUCAGAUACGAUUAUAGCGUAUUUAAGUUCAAUUUUGAUUCAGAACGCGCGAUGAACGUACCAUCUCAUGUAGUACGUUUGACAUAAGUCAUCAAGUUCAUUCGUAUAC
RNAcentral lists this unclassified non-coding RNA (286 nucleotides) under Funneliformis mosseae. RNAcentral describes it as "partial contains 5.8S ribosomal RNA and internal transcribed spacer 2". The stretch from base 1 to 71 matches the Rfam family "5.8S ribosomal RNA", at positions 84 to 154 of the family's 154-position model. Lineage: Eukaryota; Fungi; Glomeromycota; Glomeromycetes; Glomerales; Glomeraceae. The record is from RNAcentral.